This 497-nucleotide ribosomal RNA is filed under the name uncultured bacterium. RNAcentral describes it as "partial 16S ribosomal RNA". It matches the Rfam family "Bacterial small subunit ribosomal RNA", at positions 28 to 507 of the family's 1533-position model. The record is from RNAcentral.
GACGAACGCUGGCGGCGUGCUUAACACAUGCAAGUCGAACGGAAAGAUGCUGCUUUUGCUGCUCUCUCGAGAGCGGAACGCGUGUGUGAAACGUGUGUAAACUCCACCUGUAUGACGGAGAACACCACGAGAAACCGGAUAUUAUACCGUAUAAUCUCCUGCACCGUAUGGUGCGUUGGAGAGAGACGGCGUUGGGGUCUCGACUCGCGGGUUCUUCGCCGCAUGAGCUAGUUGGUAAGGACAAGGCUUACCAAGGCAACGAUGCGUAGCCGAGCUGAGAGGGUGAGCGGCCACACUGGAACGGAGACACGGUCCAGACGCCUACGGGAGGCAGCAGUAGGGAAUCUUGCGCAAUGGGCGAAAGCCUGACGGAGCAACGCCGCGGGAGGGAGGAAGGUCGUCGGGUCGGAAAUCUCUGUUAUUAGGGAAGAACAAGUGUGUGAGUAACUAUGCGCGUCAGGACGGUACCUGAGCAGAAAGCCACGGCUAACUACGUG